Molecule: ribosomal RNA, 447 nt
Filed under: uncultured bacterium
Lineage: Bacteria
Description: partial 16S ribosomal RNA
Rfam family: Bacterial small subunit ribosomal RNA
Source: RNAcentral
CCUACGGGAGGCUGCAGUUUCGAAUCAUUCACAAUGGGCGAAAGCCUGAUGGUGCGACGCCGCGUGAGGGAUGAAGGCCUUCGGGUUGUAAACCUCUGUCACUGGGGAAGAAACGCUUCAAGUUAAUAGCUUGAAGCCUGACUUAACCCAGAGAGGAAGCAGUGGCUAACUCUGUGCCAGCAGCCGCGGUAAUACAGAGACUGCAAUCGUUAUUCGGAGUGCGUAGGCGUAAAGGGUUCGCAGGCGGCCGAGCCCGGGGCUUAACCUCGGAAUUGCGCCUAAAACUACACGGCUAGAGCAUUGGAGAGGGUAGCGGAAUUCACGGUGUAGCAGUGAAAUGCGUAGAUAUCGUGAGGAACACCAGAGGCGAAGGCGGCUACCUGGACAAUUGCUGACGCUCAGGCACGAAAGCGUGGGGAGCAAAAGGGAUUAGAUACCCCAGUAGUC